This 851-nucleotide long non-coding RNA is filed under the name Bos indicus x Bos taurus (hybrid cattle). RNAcentral describes it as "lncRNA (ENSBIXG00005022601.1)". The record is from RNAcentral. Lineage: Eukaryota; Metazoa; Chordata; Mammalia; Artiodactyla; Bovidae.
GCACUGAGCGCAGGGAAGCCCCUCGGAUCUUUGAGGUUGUCAUCUUCCUUUGCAAGUUUAGUCCUAAACCCGCUGACAACAAUCCAGUCUUCAGGAUGGAGGGCUGUCGGGAGCCCAGGGUAUCCUUGGUCAGACCGUGAGGCAUGUGAUACGGAGCCACGGAGGGCGGCAGAGUCCUUCUCAGAGAUCCGUCCACGCCACCAGCCCCAGGUCGACCGGAGGGUGUGUGGAAGCAGGAAAUUCAGGGGCUACAGUGAAACCCCGACUCUAGCUUCUCUGUUGCCAGUGAGUGACAGCUGGAUGUCAGGGGACUCACAAAUGUGGACUCAUACAAGGUUGGCAAAAGCGACAGGCUCAGAGGAACUGGCCCCAACUCAAACUAGGGUGCCCCCCCACUCUUGGCUCCCCCAAACCCGCAAGCCCUCACUUACCCGGCAGAAGCCUACUGCUCCCCUCCAAAAGCAGAGACAGCCGUGGAUUUUAAGACCUGAGAUGAUGCAUCACUGUGGCUGUAACACUGGACUGAAUCUUGUUCUGUGUUCUAUGUAUCAUAUUCUCUGAGAUAAAAAGGCAUUUCAGAGCAAAACAAAACACCAAACACAAGUUAAGAGCCACUGGAGUUACAUACGCAGGGAAGAGCAAAGGCCUCCAAGAAGGUGUGGUCAAAUGAACAGGAAGCUUUCCAAAGAACAGGGGCAAAUUCAGAAGAACGGGUAAGUUCAGAAGCUGGUGGUCCAGGUGAAUGUGGACCCCAAGGUCCAGUUCUGGGUUUUGCUUUGAGCUGCAAGCGUCAUCACUUUGUUCAAAACCCCCAGAGUUUUAUGUUUAUAAUAAAUGUAUUGCCUUGAUCA